RNAcentral lists this ribosomal RNA (497 nucleotides) under uncultured bacterium. RNAcentral's name for it is "partial 16S ribosomal RNA". It matches the Rfam family "Bacterial small subunit ribosomal RNA", at positions 28 to 507 of the family's 1533-position model. The record is from RNAcentral.
GAUGAACGCUGGCGGCGUGCCUAAUACAUGCAAGUCGAGCGAACAGAUAAGGAGCUUGCGCCUUUGACGUUAGCGGCGGACGGGUGAGUAACACGUGUAUAACCUACCUAUAAGACUGGGAUAACUUCGGGAAACCGGAGCUAAUACCGUAUAACAUAUUGAUCCGCAUGGUUCAAUAGAGAAAGUCGGCUUUGCUGGCACUUAUAGAUGGAUCCGCGCCGUAUUAGCUAGUUGGUAAGGUAACGGCUUACCAAGGCAACGAUUCGUAGCCGACCUGAGAGGGUGGUCGGCCGCACUGGAACUUGGCCACGGUCCAGGCUCCUGCGGGAGGCAGCAGUAGGGAAUCUUCCGCAGUGGGCGAAAGCCUUACGGAGCGACGCCGCGUGAGUGAUGACGGUCUUCGGAUCGGAAAGCUCUGUUAUCAGGGAAGAACAGAUGUGUAAGUAACUGUGCACAUCUUGACGGUACCUGAUCAGAAAGCCCCGGCUAACUACGUG